Molecule: ribosomal RNA, 490 nt
Filed under: uncultured bacterium
Lineage: Bacteria
Description: partial 16S ribosomal RNA
Rfam family: Bacterial small subunit ribosomal RNA
Source: RNAcentral
AUUGAACGCUGGCGGCAUGCCUUACACAUGCAAGUCGAACGGCAUCGCGGGAAAGCUUGCUUUCCUGGCGGCGAGUGGCGAACGGGUGAGUAACACAUCGGCAUGUACCGGCUAGUGGGGGAUAACCCGUCGAAAGACGGGCUAAUACCGCAUACGCUCUUCGGAGGAAAGCAGGGGACCUUUUGGCCUUGCGCUAGUCGAGCGGCCGAUGUCCGAUUAGCUAGUUGGUGGGGUAAAGGCCUACCAAGGCGACGAUCGGUAGCGGGUCUGAGAGGACGAUCCGCCACACUGGGACUGAGACACGGCCCAGACUCCUACGGGAGGCAGCAGUGGGGAAUCUUGGACAAUGGGGGCAACCCUGAUCCAGCAAUGCCGCGUGGGUGAAGAAGGCCUUCGGGUUGUAAAGCCCUUUCGGCAGGGAAGAAAUCGGCGGGGCGAAUAACCCUGCUGGAUGACGGUACCUGCAGAAGAAGCACCGGCUAACUACGUG